GAUGAACGCUGGCGGCGUGCCUAAUACAUGCAAGUCGAGCGAACAGACGAUGCGCUUGCUCCUCUCUCGUUAGCGGCGGACGUGUGAGUCACACGUGUAUCCCCUACCUAUCAGACUGGGAUCACUUCGGGAAACCGGCGCUAAUACCGGAUAAUCUAUUGCACCGCAUUGUUCAAUGGUAAAAUUCGGUUUUGCUGUCCCUUAUCGCUGCAUCCGCGCCGGAUUAGCUAGUUGGUAAGGUCCCGGCGUACCACGGCAACGCUGCGUAGCCGACCUGAGAGGGUGAGCGGCCACACUGGAAGGGAGACACGGUCCAGACGCAUACGGGAGGGAGCAGUAGGGAAUCGUGAGCAAGGGGCGAAAGACUGACGGAGAAGGGCCGCGUGAUGGAGGAAGGACUUCGGAUCGGAAAACACGGUUAUUAGGGUAGAAAAAAUGUGUAAGUAACUAUGCACGUCUUGAAGGUAAAUAAGCAGAAAGCCACGGCUAACUAAGUG
Molecule: ribosomal RNA, 497 nt
Filed under: uncultured bacterium
Lineage: Bacteria
Description: partial 16S ribosomal RNA
Rfam family: Bacterial small subunit ribosomal RNA
Source: RNAcentral